UGGGGAAUAUUGGACAAUGGGGGAAACCCUGAUCCAGCGAUGCCGCGUGUGUGAAGAAGGCCUGCGGGUUGUAAAGCACUUUCAGUUGGGAAGAUAGUUUGUAGGGGAAUAUCCUGCAGAUGAGACGUUACUAACAAAAGAAGCACCGGCUAACUCUGUGCCAGCAGCCGCGGUAAUACAGAGGGUGCGAGCGUUAAUCGGAAUUACUGGGCGUAAAGGGUGCGCAGGCGGUUUUGUAAGUCAGAUGUGAAAUCCCCGGGCUUAACCUGGGAACUGCGUUUGAAACUACAAGACUAGAGUGUGGCAGAGGGGGGUGGAAUUCCAUGUGUAGCAGUGAAAUGCGUAGAGAUAUGGAAGAACAUCGAUGGCGAAGGCAGCCCCCUGGGUUAACACUGACGCUCAUGCACGAAAGCGUGGGGAGCAAACAGGAUUAGAUACCCGGGUAGUCCCUGAGCGGGCUGGCAAGGCGCAU
RNAcentral lists this ribosomal RNA (472 nucleotides) under uncultured bacterium. Its description in RNAcentral is "bacterial SSU rRNA". It matches the Rfam family "Bacterial small subunit ribosomal RNA", at positions 355 to 825 of the family's 1533-position model. The record is from RNAcentral.